GCUCCCGUGGCCUAAUUGGCUAGGGCAUAUGACUUCUAAUCAUGGGAUUGUGGGUUCGAGUCCCGCCGGGAGCU
This is a transfer RNA of Schizosaccharomyces japonicus yFS275, 74 nucleotides long. It matches the Rfam family "tRNA". Rfam says of the family: Transfer RNA (tRNA) molecules are approximately 80 nucleotides in length. Their secondary structure includes four short double-helical elements and three loops (D, anti-codon, and T loops). The record is from Rfam. NCBI's taxonomy places the organism in Eukaryota, Fungi, Ascomycota, Schizosaccharomycetes, Schizosaccharomycetales, Schizosaccharomycetaceae.